UUUUUUAUUUAAAAAUAUUUUAUUUAAAUAUAUAAAUAUUAGAAAUUAUAUAUAUAUAUAUAUAAAUUAUAGAUAAAUUAUAUACUGAAAAGGAAAGUUUUAUUUAAUUAAAAAGUAAUUGUAUGAACCUUUAGUAUUAGGGUUUUUCAAAAAAAAAUAAAAUUUUAUUUUUCUCGAAAUAAAUAGAUCUAAUUAAAAUUAAUUUAAUUUGUUUUAAAAAAUUAAUAAAAUUUUAAUUAGAAGUGAAAUUCUUAUCAAAAUUUAUGAUAGCUAGUUUUAAAAAAAAAUUUAAAAUUUUUCUGUUUUUUUUUUAAUAAUAUAUAAAAUAACAGAUUAUUUCUUUUGGGAUAAGCUAAAAGAAUUUUUAAAACUAAUAUACUAAUUUUUUAAAAAGGAGUAAAAUUAUUCCUUUAAUUGUUAUAAAUAAUUAUAAUUAUAAAUAUUAUUAAAUUUUAAUUUUUUUAAAUUUUAUUAAAAUAAUUUAAUUUUAAAUUAUUUUAAAAAUGAAAAUAUUAGUAUAAAUUUAUAUAUAUAUAUAUGUAUAUAUGCAUAUAUAUAAUAAUGAAUUUUUAAAAUAAAAUUAAAGAACUCGGCAAAUUAUUUUUUUGACUGUUUAAUAAAAACAUUUCAUUUAGUUAAUUAAAUUAAAUGAAGAUCCUGCUCAAUGAAUUAUUAAAUUGCUGUAGUAUUUUGACUAUACAAAGGUAUUGAAAUAAGAUUUUAAUUGAAUGCUAAGAGAAUGGAUUAACAAAAAAAUUCUUUUUUGAUUUUAAAAAUUGAAAUUAAUUUUUUUUGUGAAGAAGCAAAAAUAAAAAUUAAGGACAAGAAGACCCUAAGAAUUUUAAACUAUUAAUUUUAGGUCUAAAUUUUUUUAGUUUUAAUUGGGGCGAUUAAUUAAAAUUUUAAACUUUGUUUGAAAAUAAAAUGAACCGUUAUUAACGGUAAUAUGAUAAAAAUACUCUAGGGAUAACAGCGUAAUAAUUUUUGAUAGUUCCUAUAGACAAAAUAGUUUGCGACCUCGAUGUUGGAUUAGGAUUCUAAUUUAAUGAAGAAGUUAAAUUAAGAAGUUUGUUCAACUUUUAAAAUCCUACAUGAUCUGAGUUUAGACCGAUGUGAAUCAGGUUAGUUUCUAUCUUAAUUUAAUAAUAACUUUAUAAGUUAGUACGAAAGGAAUUCUUAUAUAAAAUUAUUUUUUUAAAGUCAACAGUUUUUGCAUCAAUUUGUGGAAUU
This 1230-nucleotide ribosomal RNA is filed under the name Amblyomma sp. Its description in RNAcentral is "16S ribosomal RNA". Lineage: Eukaryota; Metazoa; Arthropoda; Arachnida; Ixodida; Ixodidae. The record is from RNAcentral.